UUAUGCGAUCAUACCAGCACUAAAGCACCGGAUCCCAUCAGAACUCCGAAGUUAAGCGUGCUUGGGCGAGAGUAGUACUAGGAUGGGUGACCUCCUGGGAAGUCCUCGUGUUGCAUUCC
This 119-nucleotide ribosomal RNA is filed under the name Triticum aestivum (bread wheat). Lineage: Eukaryota; Viridiplantae; Streptophyta; Magnoliopsida; Poales; Poaceae. The record is from RNAcentral.